RNAcentral lists this ribosomal RNA (1415 nucleotides) under Microbacterium sp. PM-4. RNAcentral describes it as "bacterial SSU rRNA". It matches the Rfam family "Bacterial small subunit ribosomal RNA". The record is from RNAcentral. Lineage: Bacteria; Bacillati; Actinomycetota; Actinomycetes; Micrococcales; Microbacteriaceae.
CAUGCAAGUCGAACGGUGAACCGGAGCUUGCUCUGUGGGAUCAGUGGCGAACGGGUGAGUAACACGUGAGCAACCUGCCCCUGACUCUGGGAUAAGCGCUGGAAACGGCGUCUAAUACUGGAUAUGUGACGUGACCGCAUGGUCUGCGUUUGGAAAGAUUUUUCGGUUGGGGAUGGGCUCGCGGCCUAUCAGCUUGUUGGUGAGGUAAUGGCUCACCAAGGCGUCGACGGGUAGCCGGCCUGAGAGGGUGACCGGCCACACUGGGACUGAGACACGGCCCAGACUCCUACGGGAGGCAGCAGUGGGGAAUAUUGCACAAUGGGCGAAAGCCUGAUGCAGCAACGCCGCGUGAGGGAUGACGGCCUUCGGGUUGUAAACCUCUUUUAGCAGGGAAGAAGCGAAAGUGACGGUACCUGCAGAAAAAGCGCCGGCUAACUACGUGCCAGCAGCCGCGGUAAUACGUAGGGCGCAAGCGUUAUCCGGAAUUAUUGGGCGUAAAGAGCUCGUAGGCGGUUUGUCGCGUCUGCUGUGAAAUCCCGAGGCUCAACCUCGGGCCUGCAGUGGGUACGGGCAGACUAGAGUGCGGUAGGGGAGAUUGGAAUUCCUGGUGUAGCGGUGGAAUGCGCAGAUAUCAGGAGGAACACCGAUGGCGAAGGCAGAUCUCUGGGCCGUAACUGACGCUGAGGAGCGAAAGGGUGGGGAGCAAACAGGCUUAGAUACCCUGGUAGUCCACCCCGUAAACGUUGGGAACUAGUUGUGGGGUCCAUUCCACGGAUUCCGUGACGCAGCUAACGCAUUAAGUUCCCCGCCUGGGGAGUACGGCCGCAAGGCUAAAACUCAAAGGAAUUGACGGGGACCCGCACAAGCGGCGGAGCAUGCGGAUUAAUUCGAUGCAACGCGAAGAACCUUACCAAGGCUUGACAUAUACGAGAACGGGCCAGAAAUGGUCAACUCUUUGGACACUCGUAAACAGGUGGUGCAUGGUUGUCGUCAGCUCGUGUCGUGAGAUGUUGGGUUAAGUCCCGCAACGAGCGCAACCCUCGUUCUAUGUUGCCAGCACGUAAUGGUGGGAACUCAUGGGAUACUGCCGGGGUCAACUCGGAGGAAGGUGGGGAUGACGUCAAAUCAUCAUGCCCCUUAUGUCUUGGGCUUCACGCAUGCUACAAUGGCCGGUACAAAGGGCUGCAAUACCGUGAGGUGGAGCGAAUCCCAAAAAGCCGGUCCCAGUUCGGAUUGAGGUCUGCAACUCGACCUCAUGAAGUCGGAGUCGCUAGUAAUCGCAGAUCAGCAACGCUGCGGUGAAUACGUUCCCGGGUCUUGUACACACCGCCCGUCAAGUCAUGAAAGUCGGUAACACCUGAAGCCGGUGGCCUAACCCUUGUGGAGGGAGCUGUCGAAGGUGGGAUCGGUAAUUA